Molecule: ribosomal RNA, 473 nt
Filed under: uncultured bacterium
Lineage: Bacteria
Description: bacterial SSU rRNA
Rfam family: Bacterial small subunit ribosomal RNA
Source: RNAcentral
UUCGCCCUUAGAGUUUGAUCCUGGCUCAGGGCGAACGCUGGCGGCGUGCCUAAAACAUGCAAGUCGAGCGGGGGUUGGCCGCGGGGCAACCCGCGGUUUCAGCUCUAGCGGCGAACGGGUGAGUAACACGUGGGCAACCUGCCCCGAAGACGGGGAUAACCUCGGGAAACCGGGGCUAAUACCCGAUACCCUCCCCUGGGGGCAUCCCCGGGAGAGGAAAGGGUUGGGCGCAAGCCCUUCCGCUUCGGGAUGGGCCCGCGGCCUAUCAGCUCGUUGGUGGGGUAACGGCCCACCAAGGCGAUGACGGGUAGCUGACCUGAGAGGGUGGUCAGCCACACUGGGACUGAGACACGGCCCAGACUCCUACGGGAGGCAGCAGUUGGGAAUCUUGGGCAAUGGGCGCAAGCCUGACCCAGCGACGCCGCGUGGGGGAUGAAGGCCUUCGGGUUGUAAACCCCUGUCAGGAGGGACGA